UACAGAGGGGGCAAGCGUCAUUCGGAAUUAUUGGGCGUAAAGGGCGCGUAGGCGGCUAUUCAAGUGACGGGUGAAAGCCCUCGGCUUAACCGAGGAACUGCCUGUCAGACUGAAUAGCUUGAGACCGGGAGAGGUGAGUGGAAUUCCCAGUGUAGCGGUGAAAUGCGUAGAUAUUGGGAGGAACACCAGUGGCGAAGGCGGCUCACUGGACCGGUACUGACGCUGAGGCGCGAAAGCGUGGGGAGCAAACGGG
RNAcentral lists this ribosomal RNA (253 nucleotides) under uncultured bacterium. RNAcentral describes it as "partial 16S ribosomal RNA". It matches the Rfam family "Bacterial small subunit ribosomal RNA", at positions 524 to 776 of the family's 1533-position model. The record is from RNAcentral.